UACGUAGGGUGCAAGCGUUGUCCGGAAUUAUUGGGCGUAAAGAGCUCGUAGGCGGUUUGUCGCGUCUGGUGUGAAAAUCCAGGGCUUAACCCUGGACCUGCAUCGGGUACGGGCAGACUAGAGUGCGGUAGGGGAGAUCGGAAUUCCUGGUGUAGCGGUGGAAUGCGUAGAGAUCCGGAAGAACACCGGUGGCGAAGGCGGCCUGCUGGGCAGUUUUGCUGACACUGAGGCGCGACAGCGUGGGGAGCAAACAGG
Molecule: ribosomal RNA, 255 nt
Filed under: uncultured bacterium
Lineage: Bacteria
Description: partial 16S ribosomal RNA
Rfam family: Bacterial small subunit ribosomal RNA
Source: RNAcentral